AAGUCGUAACAAGGUUUCCGUAGGUGAACCUGCGGAAGGAUCAUUAACAGAGACUCGUGCCCGGGGGCUUGCCCCCGGCGAGCACACUCUCCAUCCCUUGCUUCUUAACGCUGUUGCUUUGGCGGGCCGCGGUCCUCCGACCCCACCGGCUCCGGCUGGUGCGCGCCCGCCAGAGGUCUACAAACUCUUGCAAUUUGGUGAAGUCUGAACAAAACAUACAAUAGCCUAAAACUUUCAACAACGGAUCUCUUGGUUCUG
This 258-nucleotide unclassified non-coding RNA is filed under the name air metagenome. RNAcentral describes it as "partial contains small subunit ribosomal RNA, internal transcribed spacer 1, and 5.8S ribosomal RNA". The stretch from base 1 to 46 matches the Rfam family "Eukaryotic small subunit ribosomal RNA", at positions 1786 to 1831 of the family's 1831-position model. The record is from RNAcentral.